CCACUUGGGCCACUGAGGCCGACAGAAGCCUUGAGAGAGGUGUCGUCCUUGUUCAUCAGUCAUCUUUUCCUGCUGUCAACAGUUUCAGGACUCCCUGCGCCAACACAGACAAGGGCUCUGAACUCAGUAAAAAUCUUGAUUUUUGUUUUGCUAUUUUAUGGGUGGAGUGGAUGCCAUGGGGACUACGCUUAUGGGACACACACUGUUUAUGAUGGAAGAAGGCCAUUAUCCAUCAGUGGGCAUCAAGCAAUGAUGUGUUGGCCAGAGGCACGGUGAAGCUUCCUUCUCUGUUCCUCCCCUUCCACACCCAUAAGAGAUUGCGGGAUGGUCACAGGCAAAGACUGAGAUGUUGGCCAGUUGCACACAUGGUUGCUCCACUAAGGAGCACGUUUCCGCAAAGAAAUGUGGUCUGGUUGCACUCUUCAGCUUGACCUCUACAACCCCUUAUGUUCCUUUGGUUGGAAUUAUGAUCAGUGCUUCCAGACACCUCCCUCCUUUUCUCCCUGUCCCCACAGAGACUGACAGACUGUUACGUACAGUGUUUAUGUAAGCGUAGAUGGGAUUGCUGGAACAUGUUGGGAAGCAAGACUGGUUUUGCCUCAGCAAGUAGGGAUGUUUGUUGUGAGACCGUGGAAAAAACACAUGCAGUUUGGAAAAAGACAUUACAUCAGGUGCAAGAAAGGUGACUACCUCUAACUUGGUAGUGAAGGAAGGGAGAGGUAUAAGACCUAUAUCCUGAGAUGAGUGGAGUAUUGCUAGGGUAGGAAUGCCAGUACCUCCUAUAAGAACUGGGUUGCAAGCAGCUCAAGGUAAUGCUGCUGCUUUAUGCUUCCUCUUUUUCUUCCCCUCUCUUAGCGAAGUUGCUGAUAGGGCUCUGGGAUCUCCUGUGGGCUGUGGGAAGUGUAACACCUCUGUGGAGCAACAUGAGUGAGCAGACUGUGUAGAGGUUGGCCAUAGGGUAACUGGUGGGCUGCGGCCGCUGCAGAUGGCUGAGAUGGGUUACAGCAACGCUGAGGCUGAUGUGAUAACUAUCCCUUAGGCAGUGAGAAUUCC
RNAcentral lists this long non-coding RNA (1053 nucleotides) under Gallus gallus (chicken). RNAcentral's name for it is "lncRNA (ENSGALG00010012396.1)". Lineage: Eukaryota; Metazoa; Chordata; Aves; Galliformes; Phasianidae. The record is from RNAcentral.